CUGGCAGCUGAUCAGAUGGUGCCCACCCAGAUUGAGGAUGGGUCUGUCUUUCCCAGCCCACCGGAUGAUAAAACCAAGACUUGGAGAGAGUUUGAGUUAUACCUACCCAUGUUCAUGUAGCCGUGUUUGACCAUCACUGAAAUAUUGACCAUUGGAAGCUUUGAAUUUCCUGGAAGAGACAAAUCCUGGGGCCAAGCUUGCAACUACAUUUUUAGAUUCCUAUGCCAACUAGUUGAAGAGUAGUUUCAGCCAAUGGAAAUGGAUUGGAAGCAGUCUGGAGGGUGGAAAGAAGAGACA
Symphalangus syndactylus (siamang) is the source of this 297-nucleotide long non-coding RNA. RefSeq lists it as uncharacterized. The record is from RefSeq and is a predicted model, not a curated record. NCBI's taxonomy places the organism in Eukaryota, Metazoa, Chordata, Mammalia, Primates, Hylobatidae.